Molecule: ribosomal RNA, 277 nt
Filed under: uncultured bacterium
Lineage: Bacteria
Description: partial 16S ribosomal RNA
Rfam family: Bacterial small subunit ribosomal RNA
Source: RNAcentral
UACGGAGGGGGUUAGCGUUGUUCGGAAUUACUGGGCGUAAAGCGUACGUAGGCGGAUCAGAAAGUUGGGGGUGAAAUCCCGGGGCUCAACCCCGGAACUGCCUCCAAAACUCCUGGUCUUGAGUUCGAGAGAGGUGAGUGGAAUUCCAAGUGUAGAGGUGAAAUUCGUAGAUAUUUGGAGGAACACCAGUGGCGAAGGCGGCUCACUGGCUCGAUACUGACGCGUGAGGUAACGGAAAAGUGUGGGGAAGCAAACAGGAUUAGAUACCCGGGUACCC